This 253-nucleotide ribosomal RNA is filed under the name uncultured bacterium. RNAcentral describes it as "partial 16S ribosomal RNA". It matches the Rfam family "Bacterial small subunit ribosomal RNA", at positions 524 to 776 of the family's 1533-position model. The record is from RNAcentral.
UACGUAGGGUGCAAGCGUUAUCCGGAAUUAUUGGGCGUAAAGAGCUCGUAGGCGGUUUGUCGCGUCUGCUGUGAAAACUGGAGGCUCAACCUCCAGCCUGCAGUGGGUACGGGCAGACUAGAGUGCGGUAGGGGAGAUUGGAAUUCCUGGUGUAGCGGUGGAAUGCGCAGAUAUCAGGAGGAACACCGAUGGCGAAGGCAGAUCUCUGGGCCGUAACUGACGCUGAGGCACGAAAGCGUGGGGAGCAAACAGG